UGGGGAAUAUUGCACAAUGGGCGCAAGCCUGAUGCAGCCAUGCCGCGUGUAUGAAGAAGGCCUUCGGGUUGUAAAGUACUUUCAGCGGGGAGGAAGGGAGUAAAGUUAAUACCUUUGCUCAUUGACGUUACCCGCAGAAGAAGCACAGGCUAACUCCGUUCCAGCAGCCGCGGUAAUACGGAGGGUGCAAGCGUUAAUCGGAAUUACUGGGCGUAAAGCGCACGCAGGCGGUUUGUUAAGUCAGAUGUGAAAUCCCCGGGCUCAACCUGGGAACUGCAUCUGAUACUGGCAAGCUUGAGUCUCGUAGAGGGGGGUAGAAUUCCAGGUGUAGCGGUGAAAUGCGUAGAGAUCUGGAGGAAUACCGGUGGCGAAGGCGGCCCCCUGGACGAAGACUGACGCUCAGGUGCGAAAGCGUGGGGAGCAAACA
Molecule: ribosomal RNA, 427 nt
Filed under: uncultured bacterium
Lineage: Bacteria
Description: partial 16S ribosomal RNA
Rfam family: Bacterial small subunit ribosomal RNA
Source: RNAcentral